CGAGCCGAGCGGGCGGCCGCGUCAGGACUGAGAGGUUCUGCCGAGGAACGUCCGGACUCCACAGAGCAGGGUGGUGGGUAACACCCACCCGGGGUGACCCGCGGGACAGUGCCACAGAAAACAGACCGCCGGGGGCCUCGGUCCCCGGUAAGGGUGAAACGGUGGUGUAAGAGACCACCAGCGUCCAGGGUGACCUGGACGGCUCGGUAAACCCCGCCCGGAGCAAGGUCAAAAGGAGUCGCCCAGGCGACUCUGCGCGGACAUUCGAGGGCUGCUCGCCCGAGUCCGCGGGUAGACCGCAUGAGGCCGGCGGCAACGCCGGUCCUAGAUGGAUGGCCGUCUCCCGGCCGACCGCGAGGUCGACCGGCGACAGAAUCCGGCGUAGAGCUCGACUCGUCUG
Molecule: RNase P RNA, 400 nt
Filed under: Streptomyces sp. DvalAA-14
Lineage: Bacteria; Bacillati; Actinomycetota; Actinomycetes; Kitasatosporales; Streptomycetaceae
Also listed under: 1 other name
Description: Bacterial RNase P class A
Rfam family: Bacterial RNase P class A
About the family: Ribonuclease P (RNase P) is a ubiquitous endoribonuclease, found in archaea, bacteria and eukarya as well as chloroplasts and mitochondria. Its best characterised activity is the generation of mature 5'-ends of tRNAs by cleaving the 5'-leader elements of precursor-tRNAs. Cellular RNase Ps are ribonucleoproteins.
Source: Rfam by way of RNAcentral